This is a long non-coding RNA of Phyllostomus hastatus (greater spear-nosed bat), 609 nucleotides long. RefSeq lists it as uncharacterized. Lineage: Eukaryota; Metazoa; Chordata; Mammalia; Chiroptera; Phyllostomidae. The record is from RefSeq and is a predicted model, not a curated record. The transcript has 3 exons.
GAUAACAUUUUGUCCUCAGCUCUGUUUCAGCUCCAGGCAAGGAAAGCAGCAAAACCAGGCAAGCACUGCCAGCCUGACUUCAGGACCAGCUGCACUGACUAAUGACCUCCUGCCCUGGUGCUGACCAAUCAGUAGAGACCACAACUCUGAGGGAACACAGUGGGAGAGCUGGUUAUCUCAACCCUUACCUCAAAGAUUUUCUAAGAUGGGCCCAAAUACAGUCAUGGACCUGCUACUUAAAGUGAGGAGCCUGGGAUUCUGAGAGAAGACUCAAGUGCAACUGUUAGCGUGGUUGGUGACACAGACUGUGAAACAAUUCAAGAAGAGAAGAAAUUGCAGAAAGGUCCCCAGAAGACUUGCAGCCAGGGGAGCAGUGGGCGGUGGCAGCUCAAUCUGGGCUUUCCACCCCGCCCCUCCGAUCCUGUCUCCAGGGCCCCCGUUUCUUUACCUCCCUGGGAGCUGACAACAGCCCUGCCUUGGCUCAUUCCUGUCCUAUAACUUUUCUAGACAACCAGAGCAGAGCACUGCCGAGGCUCUCUCCUGUUAUUUCUACCCUAAGCCCUUCCUUCAUUUAAUUGUCCCAGCCUCAAUAAACAUAGUCUAAAGUCA